Molecule: ribosomal RNA, 490 nt
Filed under: uncultured bacterium
Lineage: Bacteria
Description: partial 16S ribosomal RNA
Rfam family: Bacterial small subunit ribosomal RNA
Source: RNAcentral
AUUGAACGCUGGCGGCAGGCCUAACGCAUGCAAGUCGAACGGUAACAGAAAGCAGCUUGCUGCUUUGCUGACGAGUGGCGGACGGGUGAGUAAUGUCUGGGAAACUGCCUGAUGGAGGGGGAUAACUACUGGAAACGGUAGCUAAUACCGCAUAACGUCGCAAGACCAAAGAGGGGGACCUUCGGGCCUCUUGCCAUCGGAUGUGCCCAGAUGGGAUUAGCUUGUUGGUGGGGUAACGGCUCACCAAGGCGACGAUCCCUAGCUGGUCUGAGAGGAUGACCAGCCACACUGGAACUGAGACACGGUCCAGACUCCUACGGGAGGCAGCAGUGGGGAAUAUUGCACAAUGGGCGCAAGCCUGAUGCAGCCAUGCCGCGUGUAUGAAGAAGGCCUUCGGGUUGUAAAGUACUUUCAGCGGGGAGGAAGGGAGUAAAGUUAAUACCUUUGCUCAUUGACGUUACCCGCAGAAGAAGCACCGGCUAACUCCGUG